RNAcentral lists this ribosomal RNA (253 nucleotides) under uncultured bacterium. Its description in RNAcentral is "partial 16S ribosomal RNA". It matches the Rfam family "Bacterial small subunit ribosomal RNA", at positions 524 to 776 of the family's 1533-position model. The record is from RNAcentral.
UACGUAGGGGGCUAGCGUUGUCCGGAAUCAUUGGGCGUAAAGCGCGUGUAGGCGGUCCGGUAAGUCCGCUGUGAAAGUCGAGGGCUCAACCCUCGAAUGCCGGUGGAUACUGUCGGGCUUGAGUACGGGAGAGACGAGUGGAAUUCCUGGUGUAGCGGUGAAAUGCGCAGAUAUCAGGAGGAACACCGAUUGCGAAGGCAGCUCGCUGGAACGUUACUGACGCUGAGACGCGAAAGCGUGGGGAGCAAACAGG